UUGAGGAAUGUCAUACAUCUCGAGGUCUAACUUGAGAUUAUUACAUUUUGACUUUUCUUCCGAGACAUCAGUGCACACACGCUUGAAUUUAUUGGCAAAAGGAUGGUUUGAAGAGAAUGAGAACUAUUUGGAAUGGUUUGGAAGACUGGGACCAGCACAUGGGUACUUCAAUCCUCAAAGGAGCCGUAAUAUGUUAGUGCCAAGACGAAGCACAAUAUAUCAAAAUGAGCUGGGGUUUGGAUCCAUGAAAAUUAGGGUGGCACAAAAUCAAGUGAGACUUGCAAAGUUGCCCCAGUCCUAGGAUUAUGGAUUGAUGAAAUUUUGUGUGAGACUUACAAAGUUGGCCCAAUUUUUUUCGUGGUAUGGGUUGAUGAAAAAUUCGUGCAAGGUUCACAAAGUUGCCCCAAUUUUUCUUCGGCAAGGGGUUCAAUUUGGAAGAGGUAGUGGGUAUGAAAAGGAUUGGCUAAAAGGACGACCCCAAUUGGUUUGAUCUUCUUGUACAUGUUGCUUGCUAGUUUGCAAGGAGAUCCCCUCUUCCCGAUACAUUACUUUUUUCUUCUUCUUUUUUCAAUUCUUUUAUCUUUCUUUUUUUUUUUUUACGACACAUUGAAAGUCAUUUCGCCUUAUCGCAAAAUUAAGCUUUAUGAAAAAGUGAGCAAACAUUAUCCAAUCUGUGUGGGCUUUAUUAGGCUUGUAACGUGGCUAAGGGCUAAAAGGUAUUGAAAGAAAGGGUAAAAAGGCCUAAAUGAAUGUUUGGUGGUUAUAUGUUUUUGAAACAAGGGUUAUCAUCUAGGCAUUGCAUCAACUAUUUGACCUUUUGAGCACUUAGUGUUUCCUUGAACUUCAUUUUUCAUUCUUUUUGCUCAUCAUCACUUUGUGAUUUUUUUUUGUUCUUUUUCUUGUUCUUUUGUUCGUUAUUCACUCUUCUUGAUGAAUUCUCUUCGUUUGAUCGUUGAGUGCUCUUAUUUGCGACAUGAGUUGACUCCUACCUGAUGACAACCCUUGCUUGGGGAUGAUUUUGAAAAAGAAUUUAUUUUUGGCUCAAAUGAGGUGACAAUGGAUAUAUUUUUUGUUUUUUAGAUAAAGACAAAAAGGCCACACAUCAUUUUGAACUCUGAUUGCCUUAUUUUCAAAAGAUUAAUUUUGCGACUAGAUGACCUGAACAUUAGUCGUUUUUCUCUUUUUUCUUCCUCUUUCUAGACCGCCCUUUCGGGUUUUCAAUUUAAUGGACUUAUUCUCUUUUUGAAAGUUCCUUUCUUUUCCUUUUUUUUUCUUUUUUUUUACCUUAUAUUUUUUUAUUUUGUCUCAAUAGAUUCGGGGAUCACCCUACUAGCGCAAGCGAGAAAAUUUUUUUUUUGGCCAAGCCAAUCUGCCCCAGUGAAAAUGUUUACUUUGUUAUUGAGAGCAACAACGAUGUUUGUUGAGGGGAAAUCCUUUAUUUUGGAAAAGUAAAGGGCCGAGGUUUUUAAGCAGCAUGUGCACAAACGUCUUGAGAGAAACGUCAAAAUUGUUAUUUUUAUUUAACAUUUGACCUCGGGAAAGUCUGACACUACAACUUUGUUUUUAUUGCCAUUUUUUUUAUAUCAUUUUUUUUGCUAUUUUCCAAAAACAAGAGUUUGAAGAUUUGCAAGAAAGACAAAUGACUCAAGAUCGCCAUCAUUUUUUCAAUUUUUUUUUCAAUACCCUUUCAGAACUCGAUUUCCAGCACUACUUGGAGAAACCCUAUAGAGAAAGUUCACAUUUAAAGUCAUGGAUGACGACGCGAUAUCAAUGAACACAGAUCUCUUGGCA
RNAcentral lists this long non-coding RNA (1791 nucleotides) under Vigna radiata. RNAcentral describes it as "long non-coding RNA (VRAD_LNC007912)". Lineage: Eukaryota; Viridiplantae; Streptophyta; Magnoliopsida; Fabales; Fabaceae. The record is from RNAcentral.